GAAGACUGGUCACAGAGGACUGGUGGCAGACUCAGAAGAAAGGGAAACCAGUGUAGAGGCAAAAGCUGAGCUGGAGGAUCGGAGGACCAAGGCAGAGCUGGGGUCUUGGAGGACUGAGGCUGAGCCACUGAGACAGAAGAUCAAAAUGAAGCCAGGGGAAUGGAAGACCCAGAAGGAGCUGGAAGAUUGGUGAUGAAAGGCAAAGCUGGAUAGAGUGGAGCCAAGGGAAAAAGGGACCCUGGUGGGGAUUCACAAGGUGGAGCCAGGGAAUCAGAGAACCUUGGCUAAGUUAACAAACCAAGAGAACGCAGUGGUUUUGGCUGACCAGAAGGCUGUGGUCAAGCUGGUGAAGCCAGUAAUCCUUGAUGAAGAGGCUUUCAUGCUGGAUAGAACCAGCAAAAGGGGAAGGACUAGGGCACCACCAAAGGUCACUAUCCACUGCAUGGACAACAUUUGCAACUGGCUGUGAUGUGAGCCUGACAGAUGCAGUUAAGCUACAGGAAGUGGUUGUUAGUUACUUGCCACAUUGCUGCACAGAUGAUUGACAUCUGGCAUCCAAUGAAAGCAGGAGGAGUCACAUACCUUGCACAGCCUGAUGCACUAAAGGGUUCUUUGGCUAACACUCAAGACCAAGUAUGUAUAGCGUGUAUCACACUUCUGGUGUAGAUAUUCUACUAGCCAUUGUCAGAGUUCCUAGCCUAGCGUGUCUUUCCAUGUUUUUGAUUCUUGCUCGUGUACUUUGGAUUUACCUUUUUGCCUGCUGUUUUGGACUGUGAUCGCACCUCGCCCUGACCAUUGCUCGUGUUCCUGAAUUACCCCUUUUGUCUUGCCCUCCGGAUACUGUUCACUGAUCAUCGACCCACGCUCACCCAAGGACUAUUCUUGUGUUUUGCCCAUGCCAUACCUGUUUGAUUUUGAUUCAACCCUGCCUGUGUUUGACCUUGCUUACCAAUAAAGCCUGCAAAUGGA
This is a long non-coding RNA of Carassius gibelio (silver crucian carp), 969 nucleotides long. RefSeq lists it as uncharacterized. The record is from RefSeq and is a predicted model, not a curated record. The transcript is spliced from 2 exons. Lineage: Eukaryota; Metazoa; Chordata; Actinopteri; Cypriniformes; Cyprinidae.